AGUCGACAAUCUACUGGCAAAUCCUUUUUAAUCCUUGUCAUCUGAAGAGAAAUAAUGAAGAGAAAUUAUAGAUAAAACAUAUCGGUGCUCAUCGGCCAUUGGACAUAAACAAUACACAACAAGUUGGAAAUCGCAAAUUCAACAAUUAAUGGUUUGGAAGGAAUCAGUGGCUGCCUAGUUCCCAAUUGUCUUGAAAGUCCGUGGCUUUGAUGUCAAAGUUUAAUGACAAAAUUUGCCGAUGAAGGACAGCCGCGCUAUCUUCCUGUUCAAGUGAGCACAGCACAACAAGCCGGGAAGAGCUUUUGGAGAUCAGAGUGGCUGUCACAGCUGUUAGAAGGAGUGGACCAAGAUGCAGCGUUUUCGUAGUUCCACAUAUUUAUUUAACCAGUGAAACCGAAUGCAACAAUUAAACACUUCAAAAUAUACAC
RNAcentral lists this long non-coding RNA (428 nucleotides) under Salmo salar (Atlantic salmon). Its description in RNAcentral is "lncRNA (ENSSSAG00000109295.1)". The record is from RNAcentral. Lineage: Eukaryota; Metazoa; Chordata; Actinopteri; Salmoniformes; Salmonidae.